This 87-nucleotide non-coding RNA is filed under the name actinobacterium acMicro-1. Its description in RNAcentral is "Actinobacterium acMicro-1 ZTP sequence". It matches the Rfam family "ZMP/ZTP riboswitch aptamer (pfl RNA motif)". From Rfam's summary of the family: Previously known as pfl RNA. The record is from RNAcentral. Lineage: Bacteria; Bacillati; Actinomycetota; Actinomycetes.
UAAGGGUCGCAACUGGCGUUCGUGGUGGAGUUCCAUCGGGGAGCGACAACCUGCACGUCGAAUCGGCCGUACGCCUGGGCCGAGAAG